GUGACUGCGUACCUUUUGUAUAAUGGGUCAGCGACUUAUAUUCUGUAGCAAGGUUAACCGAAUAGGGGAGCCGAAGGGAAACCGAGUCUUAACUGGGCGUUAAGUUGCAGGGUAUAGACCCGAAACCCGGUGAUCUAGCCAUGGGCAGGUUGAAGGUUGGGUAACACUAACUGGAGGACCGAACCGACUAAUGUUGAAAAAUUAGCGGAUGACUUGUGGCUGGGGGUGAAAGGCCAAUCAAACCGGGAGAUAGCUGGUUCUCCCCGAAAGCUAUUUAGGUAGCGCCUCGUGAAUUCAUCUCCGGGGGUAGAGCACUGUUUCGGCAAGGGGGUCAUCCCGACUUACCAACCCGAUGCAAACUGCGAAUACCGGAGAAUGUUAUCACGGGAGACACACGGCGGGUGCUAACGUCCGUCGUGAAGAGGGAAACAACCCAGACCGCCAGCUAAGGUCCCAAAGUCAUGGUUAAGUGGGAAACGAUGUGGGAAGGCCCAGACAGCCAGGAUGUUGGCUUAGAAGCAGCCAUCAUUUAAAGAAAGCGUAAUAGCUCACUGGUCGAGUCGGCCUGCGCGGAAGAUGUAACGGGGCUAAACCAUGCACCGAAGCUGCGGCAGCGACGCUUAUGCGUUGUUGGGUAGGGGAGCGUUCUGUAAGCCUGUGAAGGUGUGCUGUGAGGCAUGCUGGAGGUAUCAGAAGUGCGAAUGCUGACAUAAGUAACGAUAAAGCGGGUGAAAAGCCCGCUCGCCGGAAGACCAAGGGUUCCUGUCCAACGUUAAUCGGGGCAGGGUGAGUCGACCCCUAAGGCGAGGCCGAAAGGCGUAGUCGAUGGGAAACAGGUUAAUAUUCCUGUACUUGGUGUUACUGCGAAGGGGGGACGGAGAAGGCUAUGUUGGCCGGGCGACGGUUGUCCCGGUUUAAGCGUGUAGGCUGGUUUUCCAGGCAAAUCCGGAAAAUCAAGGCUGAGGCGUGAUGACGAGGCACUACGGUGCUGAAGCAACAAAUGCCCUGCUUCCAGGAAAAGCCUCUAAGCAUCAGGUAACAUCAAAUCGUACCCCAAACCGACACAGGUGGUCAGGUAGAGAAUACCAAGGCGCUUGAGAGAACUCGGGUGAAGGAACUAGGCAAAAUGGUGCCGUAACUUCGGGAGAAGGCACGCUGAUAUGUAGGUGAAGUCCCUCGCGGAUGGAGCUGAAAUCAGUCGAAGAUACCAGCUGGCUGCAACUGUUUAUUAAAAACACAGCACUGUGCAAACACG
RNAcentral lists this ribosomal RNA (1255 nucleotides) under Escherichia coli. RNAcentral describes it as "partial 23S ribosomal RNA". It matches the Rfam family "Bacterial large subunit ribosomal RNA", at positions 593 to 1833 of the family's 2925-position model. The record is from RNAcentral. Lineage: Bacteria; Pseudomonadati; Pseudomonadota; Gammaproteobacteria; Enterobacterales; Enterobacteriaceae.